CGCCAUUUUGUGGCGGCGAGGUGCGAUGGCGGCGCGGGCUCCUGAGGGGCGAGCGAGCCCUUCCGUGCGACCUGAGAGGGGUUUAAAAGGGCACUUCAGCUCGGGGGGGAUGGUUCAAGCCUUGUCUUGACUUGGCAGAGAGAGAAGUACCUGAGAAGUGGGUCCCGGUUGGCCGGAGGAUGGAGCUGCUUUUCCCACUGCCAGUGCUGUGGAAGGACAGGAGAGAACACGAGAUGAUGCCAUCGAGGCAGCAGUGCAGUGAGCUGAUCCCAAACCCUUUCCUGUGGAAAGAAAUGAAGAAAUGUGAUCAAGAUUGCCAUCAGUAUUCAAGAACACUUAAAAAUAUCUAUGGGAACACGCACAGAGAAGGAAUGUGAAUUCAGUCAGAUAAAAACAUGCGGAGGUCGAUAUAUGUUCUGUAGGAUGAGGUAAACAUUGAAUAAAGUUGCUUUCUGUCCACAAACAAUUUGCUUUUUUAAAUGUGUCCUGCCUUUUGCUUCGGACAAAACUUGACAGGUUUGUACAAAGGGAA
This is a non-coding RNA of Cyanistes caeruleus (blue tit), 532 nucleotides long. The record is from RefSeq and is a predicted model, not a curated record. Lineage: Eukaryota; Metazoa; Chordata; Aves; Passeriformes; Paridae.